GGUCGGGGUUCCCGAGCGGCCAAAGGGAGCAGACUGUAAAUCUGCCGUCAUCGACUUCGAAGGUUCGAAUCCUUCCCCCACCACCA
RNAcentral lists this transfer RNA (86 nucleotides) under Salmonella enterica subsp. enterica serovar Tennessee. RNAcentral describes it as "tRNA-Tyr". It matches the Rfam family "tRNA". Rfam says of the family: Transfer RNA (tRNA) molecules are approximately 80 nucleotides in length. The record is from RNAcentral. Lineage: Bacteria; Pseudomonadati; Pseudomonadota; Gammaproteobacteria; Enterobacterales; Enterobacteriaceae. RNAcentral also lists the same sequence under 1 other name.